UACAGAGGGUGCGAGCGUUAAUCGGAAUUACUGGGCGUAAAGCGUGCGUAGACGGUAGCGUAAGUCAGAUGUGAAAGCCCCGGGCUCAACCUGGGAAUUGCAUUUGAGACUGCUCUGCUCGGGCGCGGAAGAGGGAAGCGGAAUUUCCGGUGUAGCGGUGAAAUGCGUAGAUAUCGGAAGGAACACCAGUGGCGAAAGCGGCUUCCUGGUCCGACACCGACGUUCAGGCACGAAAGCGUGGGGAGCAAACAGG
RNAcentral lists this ribosomal RNA (253 nucleotides) under uncultured bacterium. Its description in RNAcentral is "partial 16S ribosomal RNA". It matches the Rfam family "Bacterial small subunit ribosomal RNA", at positions 524 to 776 of the family's 1533-position model. The record is from RNAcentral.